This 253-nucleotide ribosomal RNA is filed under the name uncultured bacterium. RNAcentral describes it as "partial 16S ribosomal RNA". It matches the Rfam family "Bacterial small subunit ribosomal RNA", at positions 524 to 776 of the family's 1533-position model. The record is from RNAcentral.
UACAGAGGGGGCAAGCGUUAUUCGGAAUUAUUGGGCGUAAAGGGCGCGUAGGCGGCUUUUCAAGUGACGGGUGAAAUCCCUCGGCUUAACCGAGGAACUGCCUGUCAGACUGGAAGGCUUGAGUCCGGAAGAGGCGAGUGGAAUUCCUGGUGUAGCGGUGGAAUGCGCAGAUAUCAGGAGGAACACCAAUAGCGAAGGCAGCUCGCUGGGACGGUACUGACGCUAAGGCGCGAAAGCGUGGGGAGCGAACAGG